AGAGGGCGACCGGCCACACUGGGACUGAGACACGGCCCAGACGCCUACGGGAGGCAGCAGUGGGGAAUAUUGCACAAUGGGCGAAAGCCUGAUGCAGCGACGCCGCGUGAGGGAUGACGGCCUUCGGGUUGUAAACCUCUUUCAGCAGGGAAGAAGCGAAAGUGACGGUACCUGCAGAAGAAGCACCGGCUAACUACGUGCCAGCAGCCGCGGUAAUACGUAGGGUGCGAGCGUUGUCCGGAAUUAUUGGGCGUAAAGAGCUUGUAGGCGGUUUGUCGCGUCUGCAGUGAAAAUCCGAGGCUCAACCUCGGACUUGCUGUGGGUACGGGCAGACUAGAGUAUGGUAGGGGAGACCGGAAUUCCUGGUGUAGCGGUGGAAUGCGCAGAUAUCAGGAGGAACACCGAUGGCGAAGGCAGGUCUCUGGGCCAUAACUGACGCUGAGAAGCGAAAGCAUGGGGAGCGAACUGGAUUAGAUACCCUGGUAGUCCAUGCCGUAAACGUUGGGCGCUAGGUGUGGGGCUCAUUCCACGAGCUCCGUGCCGCAGCUAACGCAUUAAGCGCCCCGCCUGGGGAGUACGGCCGCAAGGCUAAAACUCAAAGGAAUUGACGGGGGCCCGCACAAGCGGCGGAGCAUGCGGAUUAAUUCGAUGCAACGCGAAGAACCUUACCAAGGCUUGACAUAUACCGGAAACAUCCAGAGAUGGGUGCCCCGCAAGGUCGGUAUACAGGUGGUGCAUGGUUGUCGUCAGCUCGUGUCGUGAGAUGUUGGGUUAAGUCCCGCAACGAGCGCAACCCUCGUUCUAUGUUGCCAGCGCGUAGUGGCGGGGACUCAUAGGAGACUGCCGGGGUCAACUCGGAGGAAGGUGGGGAUUACGUCAAAUCAUCAUGCCCCUUAUGUCUUGGGCUUCACGCAUGCUACAAUGGCCGGUACAAAGGGCUGCGAUACCGCGAGGUGGAGCGAAUCCCAAAAAACCGGUCUCAGUUCGGAUUGGGGUCUGCAACUCGACCCCAUGAAGUCGGAGUCGCUAGUAAUCGCAGAUCAGCAACGCUGCGGUGAAUACGUUCCCGGGCCUUGUACACACCGCCCGUCAAGUCACGAAAGUCGGUAACACCCGAAGCCGGUGGCCCAACCCUUGUGGAGGGAGCCGUCGAAGGUGGGACUGGCGAUUGGGACUAAGUCGUAACAAGGUAGCCGUACCGGAAGGUGCGGCUG
RNAcentral lists this ribosomal RNA (1214 nucleotides) under metagenome. RNAcentral describes it as "bacterial SSU rRNA". It matches the Rfam family "Bacterial small subunit ribosomal RNA", at positions 295 to 1520 of the family's 1533-position model. The record is from RNAcentral.